AUUGAACGCUGGCGGCAGGCUUAACACAUGCAAGUCGAGCGAGCGGCGGACGUGUGAGUAAUGUCUGUGAACCUGCCUGAUGGUGGGGGAUAACUACUGGAAACGGUAGCUAAUCCCGCCUACUAUCAGAUUUCCCCAGCUGGGAUUAGCUAGUAGGUGGGGUAAUGGCUCACCUAGGCGACGAUCCCUAGCUGGUCUGAGAGGAUGACCAGCCACACGGGAACUGAGACACGGACCAGACUCCUACGGGAGGCAGCAGUGGGGAAUAUUGCACAAUGGGCGCAAGCCUGAUGCAGCCAUGCCGCGGGUGUGAAGAAGGCCUUCGGGUUGUAAAGCACUUUCAGCGAGGAGGCGUUACUCGCAGAAGAAGCACCGGCUAACUCCGUGCCAGCAGCCGCGGUAAUAC
RNAcentral lists this ribosomal RNA (406 nucleotides) under uncultured bacterium. Its description in RNAcentral is "partial 16S ribosomal RNA". It matches the Rfam family "Bacterial small subunit ribosomal RNA", at positions 30 to 526 of the family's 1533-position model. The record is from RNAcentral.